RNAcentral lists this transfer RNA (65 nucleotides) under Listeria monocytogenes. RNAcentral describes it as "tRNA-Ile". It matches the Rfam family "tRNA", at positions 10 to 71 of the family's 71-position model. Rfam says of the family: Transfer RNA (tRNA) molecules are approximately 80 nucleotides in length. Their secondary structure includes four short double-helical elements and three loops (D, anti-codon, and T loops). Further hydrogen bonds mediate the characteristic L-shaped molecular structure. tRNAs have two regions of fundamental functional importance: the anti-codon, which is responsible for specific mRNA codon recognition, and the 3' end, to which the tRNAs corresponding amino acid is attached (by aminoacyl-tRNA synthetases). tRNAs cope with the degeneracy of the genetic code in two manners: having more than one tRNA (with a specific anti-codon) for a particular amino acid; and 'wobble' base-pairing, i.e. permitting non-standard base-pairing at the 3rd anti-codon position. The record is from RNAcentral. Lineage: Bacteria; Bacillati; Bacillota; Bacilli; Caryophanales; Listeriaceae.
GCUCAGCUGGUUAGAGCGCACGCCUGAUAAGCGUGAGGUCGAUGGUUCGAGUCCAUUUAGGCCCA